UACGUAGGUGGCAAGCGUUGUCCGGAAUUAUUGGGCGUAAAGCGCGCGCAGGCGGUCCUUUAAGUCUGAUGUGAAAGCCCACGGCUCAACCGUGGAUGGUCAUUGGAAACUGGGGGACUUGAGUACAGAAGAGGAAAGCGGAAUUCCACGUGUAGCGGUGAAAUGCGUAGAGAUGUGGAGGAACACCAGUGGCGAAGGCGGCUUCUGGUCUGUAACUGACGCUGAGGCGCGAAAGCGUGGGGAGCAAACAGG
RNAcentral lists this ribosomal RNA (252 nucleotides) under uncultured bacterium. RNAcentral's name for it is "partial 16S ribosomal RNA". It matches the Rfam family "Bacterial small subunit ribosomal RNA", at positions 524 to 776 of the family's 1533-position model. The record is from RNAcentral.